GGCAAGAUGGCCGAGCGGUCUAAGGCGCUGCAUUCAAGUGAGCUUGUAGGGGCAAACCCCUAUAGGGUACACUGUGCCGGUUUUACCGACCGCGCACAGGGAUUUCGCAGUCUCGCAAGAGGCGGGGGUUCGAAUCCCCCUCUUGUCA
This is a transfer RNA of Talaromyces stipitatus ATCC 10500, 148 nucleotides long. It matches the Rfam family "tRNA". Rfam says of the family: Transfer RNA (tRNA) molecules are approximately 80 nucleotides in length. Their secondary structure includes four short double-helical elements and three loops (D, anti-codon, and T loops). The record is from Rfam. NCBI's taxonomy places the organism in Eukaryota, Fungi, Ascomycota, Eurotiomycetes, Eurotiales, Trichocomaceae.